AUUGAACGCCGGCGGCAUGCCUUACACAUGCAAGUCGAACGGCAGCACGGGAGCAAUCCUGGUGGCGAGUGGCGAACGGGUGAGUAAAGUAUCGGAACGUGCCCAGUCGUGGGGGAUAACGUAGCGAAAGUUACGCUAAUACCGCAUACGAUCUAUGGAUGAAAGCGGGGGAUCGCAAGACCACGCGCGAUUGGAGCGGCCGAUAUCAGAUUAGGUAGUUGGUGGGGUAAAGGCUCACCAAGCCGACGAUCUGUAGCUGGUCUGAGAGGACGACCAGCCACACUGGGACUGAGACACGGCCCAGACUCCUACGGGAGGCAGCAGUGGGGAAUUUUGGACAAUGGGCGCAAGCCUGAUCCAGCCAUGCCGCGUGCAGGGUGAAGGCCUUCGGGUUGUAAACUGCUUUUGUACGGAACGAAAAGGUUUGGCUUAAUACGUUGAACUCAUGACGGUACCGUAAGAAUAAGCACCGGCUAACUACGUGCCAGCAGCCGCGGUAA
This 500-nucleotide ribosomal RNA is filed under the name uncultured bacterium. Its description in RNAcentral is "partial 16S ribosomal RNA". It matches the Rfam family "Bacterial small subunit ribosomal RNA", at positions 30 to 523 of the family's 1533-position model. The record is from RNAcentral.